AACGUAGGUCACAAGCGUUGUCCGGAAUUACUGGGUGUAAAGGGAGCGCAGGCGGGAAGACAAGUUGGAAGUGAAAUCCAUGGGCUCAACCCAUGAACUGCUUUCAAAACUGUUUUUCUUGAGUAGUGCAGAGGUAGGCGGAAUUCCCGGUGUAGCGGUGGAAUGCGUAGAUAUCGGGAGGAACACCAGUGGCGAAGGCGGCCUACUGGGUACCAACUGACGCUGAGGCUCGAAAGUGUGGGUAGCAAACAGG
RNAcentral lists this ribosomal RNA (253 nucleotides) under Faecalibacterium prausnitzii. RNAcentral's name for it is "partial 16S ribosomal RNA". It matches the Rfam family "Bacterial small subunit ribosomal RNA", at positions 524 to 776 of the family's 1533-position model. Lineage: Bacteria; Bacillati; Bacillota; Clostridia; Eubacteriales; Oscillospiraceae. The record is from RNAcentral.